ACGGGGAAGGGAGCAUGGCCUCCCUGAGCCUGUCCUUGACCCUGCAGGAGGUGACCUCUGUGUGGGCCACCUUAGAGAUGGAUCCCCAGGGAGCCCAGGAGAGGCAGCAGCAGCAGGGUGUCGUCCGCUUCCUGGGCACGUUCCUCUAUCACCUGAAGCUGCUGGACAUUGGGAUGGAGGAUGAUCUGGAAGGAAAUCGGGCCAACUUCCAGAAA
Long non-coding RNA from Diceros bicornis minor, 215 nucleotides. RefSeq lists it as uncharacterized. The transcript is spliced from 3 exons. NCBI's taxonomy places the organism in Eukaryota, Metazoa, Chordata, Mammalia, Perissodactyla, Rhinocerotidae. The record is from RefSeq and is a predicted model, not a curated record.